Molecule: small nuclear RNA, 89 nt
Filed under: Panthera tigris altaica (Amur tiger)
Lineage: Eukaryota; Metazoa; Chordata; Mammalia; Carnivora; Felidae
Source: RNAcentral
GUGCUCGUUUCAGCAGCACAUAUACUAAAAUUGGAACGAUACAGAGAAGAUCAGCAUGGCCCCUGCGCAAGGAUGACAUGCAAAAAAAA